Molecule: long non-coding RNA, 4340 nt
Filed under: Homo sapiens (human)
Lineage: Eukaryota; Metazoa; Chordata; Mammalia; Primates; Hominidae
Description: HSALNT0204132
Source: RNAcentral
CGGGGUUUCACUGCAUUGGCCAGGCUGGUCUCAAACUCCUGUCUUCAGGUGAUCCACCUGCCUUGGCCUCCCAAAGUGCUGGGAUUCAGGUGUGAACCACCAUGCCUGGACAAAUUUCACUGAUAUUUAAUCAAUUUUCAAGUGGUUUUCUUUGCAUCUUAUAUUCACAUCCCUACCAACCUCACACUUUGAUCUUGUUGUUCUUUUAGUUUUGUAAACACUGCAAAGCAGCCAUGUAUACCCUUCAAUGAAGAAGGAUAAGUAAUCACAAAUUAGGAUACUCUUAAAAAACUUGUCUUUGAAGACUUUAUUCUUCAUAAUCAAAUUUUACAUAAAGCCAAUCCCAAUAUCAAUUUAGGGUGAUAAUGUAGGACAGUAACAGCAGCUGAAUUUUGUGUUUUAAAGCAAACCUGCAUUUUGAUUUUUUUCCGAUUAUUUCAUUCUCGAUCACUUUAUUUGCAGAUUCAGAAAAGCCUGAAUUUGCAAAAAGUUUGUUUCGAUCAUCAUAGGCAAGGUGAAAUAGAAAGUCGAAGAAAUCAUCUCGGUCAUUACGAGUCCUCAAGUAGUUGCUUUUUGUACUUUGAAUAAAGACUUUAGUCAUAGUAGGAGAGAUAGACUGUAAUGGACUUACUUCACGAUGGCUGCACCAGAGGUUCCAAGAACGAUGGCUUUCAACUUCAACCCACAUCUAAAACACACCACUGUAGCCACACCCUACACCCUGUGGUUAUCCAGUUGUGAGUCCUAUUGGAGAGAUGAGGUACGUCCACUGGGGAAAACCUAAGGAUGAGAGGUACAGAGGUUAGAUGAAAACAUGAAGAUACUAUCCUCAAGGUUAUUCAGAGAGUCAUAGAGAAAAGAAGAAAGCGAUAGUUAAUAAGGAGACUUAGGUUCCUUAGAAGGAAAUUAACCAGCCAUCAAACUGAUGAUGUUUAGAUUGGAAACACAAAUGGAUGAUGAGUUAACCAACAGAACUAAAUCAGAUCAGGAGUAUAAAACUGAGGAGUGAGGAGGGAAGCCUGACAAGUGAGGAGGUACAAAAUGGCCACCCAUGGGCAUCUAGUUGAUCAUUAUUUCUACAUAAGCUACUGUACAACUCACAGAGUGAGGAUGGAUGCUUACAAAUAACAGACUGGAAUGAGCAACUCAGAAUUGCUGCACCUCUAAAAUCAAAUCACAAUACUCCAUGCUCUGCCUAUAACCUACUAUCCUUUGCUAUUAUUGUGUUUGCUAUUCAUCUGCAUCAAUUCUUUUAAUUCUAUGAAUUUUGUUCCCAUCAAUUGUUCCUAAUCGAUCAGCCCAUUCUGGUUUAACUUUUGUUUUGUUCCCUUCCUGAACACUGGUCUUUCAUUUCAAUCUUUCUUCCUGGGCACCCACAAAUCUCUCAAUCCAUUUUCUUCCUUAUGUCUGUCCUUAAAACAACUUCCCUCCACCUUCAGAUUAAUCUAAUCCUCUGACCUCUACUCUCCUACUCAAACUAUUAAACACAGCUGAAAUGCCUUCUAUUUUAGGCUGUUACUCACAUCUUCCAUCCCAGCAGCUUAUUCAUACCACCAUCUUCCGUCACCAGGAUCACCACCACUAGCCUUAUACACUUGACUAUCACUCAUACCUAUUAGAAUCAAUUCUCUACACAUCAGACAAACUGAGCUUUAUAAAACACAAAUCAGUUUGCAUUACUUCUUUGCUAUAAACAUUCAAAGACUUGUCAUUUCCAUUAGGACUCUGGCCUACACAGGCCCCCAUGAUCUGACCCUGCCUGCCUCUUCCACCUUUGCCAUAACAAUCUCCUCCUCUUUCCUGGCCUUCUUGCCAUUUCUUAAAAAUGACAUGCUUAUUCCUAUUUCAGGCUGUUACACUUGCUCUUGUCUGCCCAGAAUUCCACACACCUUCUCCAUCUUACGCAGGUCAAGCUCAAAUGUCACCUGUUUGUCUCUGUAAAAAAUGGAAUCCCUCCUUCAUUAUUAUCUUUGCCUUUAUUCUGCUUUUUUUUUCCCCUAGUGCUUAUCACUCUCUGAAACUAUGUUAUUUGUUUGCUUAUUUCUUUGCUGUAGCCCACACCAGAUCAGGAACUCCUCAAAAGCAAGACCUUAAAACUAUCUUAUUUGGCUACCAUAUCCAUAACUUAUAAAACAGUACUCAGCAUACAAUAGACACCAGGUAAAUAGUUGUUGGAUCUGUUGAAUUAUCACCAUGAAAGCUAAAAUCCUCUAGGAUAAUGGUGGGAGUCAGGGUGAGAGUGAGGUGUCAAUGUCACCUGAUGAGUUGAAGAAAAGAUAAUUUUACUAUUUGAGAGAAAGGACUGAAAUAUGAUAUGCUAAGGAGUUGUUGCUGAAUUUAAAUUUUUUUAGGGAAUCUAUAUUAAAAUAUGCUGUAUAUUUGAUAUUAGACCUAGAGGUCAGUGUAACCCAUUCACAGGGUUUGCAAGUAUCAUUUGUGUCAUCCUCAGUUUUGCAAAUAAAAUGUUGCACUUUUAAAAGAUAAAUGUAAGUAGCUUAAGCAGAAGUAGUUAGGUAUAUUUUUUCACUUUUUCUUUUUGGUCCAGAUCUGGCAUGGUUCCUAGACAUGUGAAAUUAGUGAUGUGGAAAAAUGUAAAUAUAUAGCUAAUGCAAUAAGCUUCACAAAAAUAUUUUGUUCUAUACAGUGUUCAGCAUUUUAACCAGCUCCAUGGAUUUCAGUAGGAAGUCUCAAAAAUGUAUCAUGCCUUUUCUGUAUUUUAUAGGAAGAAUAUCAUGAAUUUAGCUGGUAUUAGAAAGUAGAACUUGGAAAAUAGAGUGUAACUGGAAAAUGAAGGGACUUAACUGAGACAAACAGCCUCUUCUUAUCCAUUUUUAAAAUGUUCAGAUUUAACUAGAUGACCAUGACCAUGAAGAACUUCUCAAGCUCUUUGGUUCUACAGGUGUAUGACAGUUUCCUGGAGGGGGUCAUAUGGAUCUACUACUACCUUCCCACUGACAUUAGGCAGAUGUUCAUUAGAUUGGUUUGAUAGAUGUAAUGGUUAAUAUUGAGUGUCAACUUGAUUGGAUUGAAGGAUGCAAAGUAUUGUUCCUGGGUGCGUCUGUGAGGGUGUUGCCAAAGGAGAUUAACAUUUGAAUCAUUGGACUGGGAGAGGCAGACCCACCCUCAAUCUGGGUGGGCACAAUCUAAUCAGCUGCCAGCAUGGCCAGCAUAAAAGCAGGCAGAAGAAUGUGGAAGGAGUAGACUGGCUCAGUCUCCUGGCCUACAUCUUUCUCCCACGCUGCAUGCUUCCUGCCCUCGAACAUUGGACUCCAAGUUCUUCAGUUUUGGGACUCUUGAACCUUUGACCACAGACUGAAGGCUACACUGUUGACUUCCCUACUUUUGAGCUUUUAGGACUCGGACUGGCUUCCUUGUUCCUCAGCUUGCAGACGGCCUAUUGUGGGACCUCACUUUGUGAUCAUGUGAGUCAAUACUCCUUAAUAAACUCUCCUUUAAAUAUACAUCUAUCUUGUUAGUUCUGUCCCUCUAGAGAACCUUGACUAAUACGAUAGGGAAGCCAUAGUGACUGUCACUAAUAUUCUAAUAAAAGAAUUAUUAUCUAUGCCAACUCUGGAGAGCCACAGGUAAGCUAUACAUAGAUCAAAGUGUAAACCAGGGGUUCUCUGAGUGUGAUUCCUGGACCAGCAGUAUGUGGUGACAUUUGAAAUGCAAAUUCUUGGGCCCCACCUCAGACCACUGAAUUAGAAACUCCAGAGGUGGAGCUCAGCAGUUUGUUUUAACUAGUUCUCCAGGUGAUGCUGAGGCACAUCACAGUUGGAAAUGGUGAGGUAAGUAAGGAAUUUCAGCAGUUCAACUGCUGAAAUGUAGAUCUUAACAAAGUGCUAAAUGAAUAGAGGAAAAAGGGAUAAUUAUCUGAGACAUUUGGAUCUUGUUUCACGAAUAGGAGUUCAGAUGAAGUUAGGGAGGUCUUUUGAAGUAUAGGAAACAAGACAUGCAAAGACUGGGGAGGUUAGGAAGACCAGACCUAUUUCAAGAUAUACAAUGGCCUAGUGGGGCUUGAGGUAGCAGGGUGCAUUCUUUUUCUUAGAUAUGCUUCCUCCUCUCUGCUCCAUGGUGCCACACAUGAUGCUGGUGAUAAAGGAGACUGAGCGAGGGUAAAGAUUCACAGUGCCAGCAAGGGCUUGGACAUUGGCAGCCUAUGGAUCAAAUUGUGCUUGCAGAUGGGCUGUAUUUGGUAUUUUAUUGUACAAACACUAUGUAUUUGGCAUAGCAUUAUACAAAUAAAUGUGAACUAACAUUUAAUAAUCAGUUUGGAUGUAUAUAUGUGUAUAUAUAUUAUGUAUAAAUAACAUAUAUGCUAACACAAAAAUAUAUGUGCU